CUUGGUAGCGCAGCUAACGCGUGAAGUUGACCGCCUGGGGAGUACGGUCGCAAGAUUAAAACUCAAAGGAAUUGACGGGGACUCCGCACAAGCGGUGGAUGAUGGGAUUAAUUCGAUGCAACGCGAAAAACCUUACCUACCCUUGACAUGUCUGGAAUCCCGAAGAGAUUUGGGAGUGCUCGCAAGAGAACCGGAACACAGGUGCUGCAUGGCUGUCGUCAGCUCGUGUCGAGAUGUUGGGUUAAGUCCCGCAACGAGCGCAACCCUUGUCAUUAGUUGCUACGAAAGGGCACUCUAAUGAGACUGCCGGUGACAAACCGGAGGAAGGUGGGGAUGACGUCAAGUCCUCAUGGCUCUUAUGGGUAGGGCUUUCACACGUCAUACAAUGGUCGGGACAGAGGGUCGCCAACCCGCGAGGGGAGCCAAUCCCAGAAACCCGAUCGUAGUCCGGAUCGCAGUCUGCAACUCGACUGCGUGAAGUCGGAAUCGCUAGUAAUCGCGGAUCAGCAUGUCGCGGUGAAUACGUUCCCGGGUCUUGUACACACCGCCCGUCACACCAUGGAGUGGGUUUUACCAGAAGUAGUUAGCCAACUGGUAAGGAGGGCGAUUACCACGGUAGGAUUCAUGAUCAGUGAAGUCGUAACAAGGCAG
This 651-nucleotide unclassified non-coding RNA is filed under the name uncultured Bordetella sp. RNAcentral's name for it is "partial 16S-23S ribosomal RNA intergenic spacer". It matches the Rfam family "Bacterial small subunit ribosomal RNA", at positions 839 to 1499 of the family's 1533-position model. Lineage: Bacteria; Pseudomonadati; Pseudomonadota; Betaproteobacteria; Burkholderiales; Alcaligenaceae. The record is from RNAcentral.